CGCAGCGAACACACAGGGAGCUUGCUCCCAGAUAUGCUGCGGGGAAAGUCCCCGUGCCUUGGGGCAGAAAGUGCCACUGGGAGACCAGAAGACCUUGGCACUAGAGCCAUCAGCGAAGCACAAGUGGAGUUGUGGUUCUGGUGUUUUGGUCCUUUGCAGCAGCAAAGUCAUGCCGUGAGCGUUUGCAAGAACGCCAACC
RNAcentral lists this RNase MRP RNA (199 nucleotides) under uncultured Symbiodinium. RNAcentral's name for it is "partial RNase MRP". It matches the Rfam family "RNase MRP", at positions 23 to 241 of the family's 266-position model. From Rfam's summary of the family: RNase MRP is an enzymatically active ribonucleoprotein with two distinct roles in eukaryotes. In mitochondria it plays a direct role in the initiation of mitochondrial DNA replication. Lineage: Eukaryota; Dinophyceae; Suessiales; Symbiodiniaceae. The record is from RNAcentral.